CUACUUAUCUGGCAGAGGAGAUUCCAUGAUCACAAAGUUGUUUUCACAGGGUGAGGCUUAUCCAUUAUAUUCCAGAUAUGCUAACCCCUGCGAUUUUCCCAAUUGUGGGAAAUUUGACUGCAUAAUUUGUGUUAGUGGUGGACUGCAUUCACAAUCUCCCA
This 161-nucleotide small nuclear RNA is filed under the name Rhinopithecus roxellana (golden snub-nosed monkey). Its description in RNAcentral is "U1 spliceosomal RNA (ENSRROG00000015501.1)". It matches the Rfam family "U1 spliceosomal RNA". From Rfam's summary of the family: U1 is a small nuclear RNA (snRNA) component of the spliceosome (involved in pre-mRNA splicing). Its 5' end forms complementary base pairs with the 5' splice junction, thus defining the 5' donor site of an intron. The record is from Rfam by way of RNAcentral. Lineage: Eukaryota; Metazoa; Chordata; Mammalia; Primates; Cercopithecidae.